CAGCAGCCGCGGUAACACCAGCAGCCCAAGUGGUGGUCGCGAUUAUUGGGCCUAAAGCGCUCGUAGCCGGGCCGGUAAGUCCCUUGUGAAAUCGGACGGCCUAACCGUUCGGCGUGCAAGGGAUACUGUCGGUCUUGAGGCCGGGAGACGUCCGAGGUACUCCGGGGGUAGCGGUGAAAUGUUCUGAUCCUCGGGGGACCACCGGUGGCGAAGGCGUUCGACGAGAACGGGCCUGACGGUGAGGGGCGAAGGCUAGGGGAGCAAACGGGAUUAGAUACCCGCGUAGUCCCUGUCUCUUAUU
RNAcentral lists this ribosomal RNA (301 nucleotides) under uncultured bacterium. RNAcentral describes it as "partial 16S ribosomal RNA". It matches the Rfam family "Archaeal small subunit ribosomal RNA", at positions 459 to 759 of the family's 1478-position model. The record is from RNAcentral.